RNAcentral lists this ribosomal RNA (687 nucleotides) under actinobacterium X23. RNAcentral's name for it is "bacterial SSU rRNA". It matches the Rfam family "Bacterial small subunit ribosomal RNA", at positions 115 to 814 of the family's 1533-position model. Lineage: Bacteria; Bacillati; Actinomycetota; Actinomycetes. The record is from RNAcentral.
ACGUGAGUAACCUGCCCUUGACUCUGGGAUAAGCCUGGGAAACUGGAUCUAAUACUGGAUACUACCUCUUACCGCAUGGUGGGUGGUGGAAAGGGUUUUACUGGUUUUGGAUGGGCUCACGGCCUAUCAGCUUGUUGGUGGGGUAAUGGCUCACCAAGGCAACUACGGGUAGCCGGCCUGAGAGGGUGACCGGCCACACUGGGACUGAAACACGGCCCAGACUCCUACGGGAGGCAGCAGUGGGGAAUAUUGCACAAUGGGCGGAAGCCUGAUGCAGCGACGCCGCGUGAGGGAUGACGGCCUUCGGGUUGUAAACCUCUUUCAGUAGGGAAGAAGCGAGAGUGACGGUACCUGCAGAAGAAGCGCCGGCUAACUACGUGCCAGCAGCCGCGGUAAUACGUAGGGCGCAAGCGUUGUCCGGAAUUAUUGGGCGUAAAGAGCUCGUAGGCGGUUUGUCGCGUCUGCUGUGAAAGCCCGGGGCUCAACCCCGGGUCUGCAGUGGGUACGGGCAGACUAGAGUGCAGUAAGGGAGACUGGAAUUCCUGGUGUAGCGGUGAAAUGCGCAGAUAUCAGGAGGAACACCGAUGGCGAAGGCAGGUCUCUGGGCUGUUACUGACGCUGAGGAGCGAAAGCAUGGGGAGCGAACAGGAUUAGAUACCCUGGUAGUCCAUGCCGUAAACGUUGGGC